Molecule: ribosomal RNA, 1372 nt
Filed under: uncultured bacterium
Lineage: Bacteria
Description: bacterial SSU rRNA
Rfam family: Bacterial small subunit ribosomal RNA
Source: RNAcentral
GAUGAACGCUGGCGGCGUGCCUAAUACAUGCAAGUCGAGCGAACGGACGAGAAGCUUGCUUCUCUGAUGUUAGCGGCGGACGGGUGAGUAACACGUGGAUAACCUACCUAUAAGACUGGGAUAACUUCGGGAAACCGGAGCUAAUACCGGAUAAUAUUUUGAACCGCAUGGUUCAAAAGUGAAAGACGGUCUUGCUGUCACUUAUAGAUGGAUCCGCGCUGCAUUAGCUAGUUGGUAAGGUAACGGCUUACCAAGGCAACGAUGCAUAGCCGACCUGAGAGGGUGAUCGGCCACACUGGAACUGAGACACGGUCCAGACUCCUACGGGAGGCAGCAGUAGGGAAUCUUCCGCAAUGGGCGAAAGCCUGACGGAGCAACGCCGCGUGAGUGAUGAAGGCCUUCGGAUCGUAAAACUCUGUUAUUAGGGAAGAACAUAUGUGUAAGUAACUGUGCACAUCUUGACGGUACCUAAUCAGAAAGCCACGGCUAACUACGUGCCAGCAGCCGCGGUAAUACGUAGGUGGCAAGCGUUAUCCGGAAUUAUUGGGCGUAAAGCGCGCGUAGGCGGUUUUUUAAGUCUGAUGUGAAAGCCCACGGCUCAACCGUGGAGGGUCAUUGGAAACUGGAAAACUUGAGUGCAGAAGAGGAAAGUGGAAUUCCAUGUGUAGCGGUGAAAUGCGCAGAGAUAUGGAGGAACACCAGUGGCGAAGGCGACUUUCUGGUCUGUAACUGACGCUGAUGUGCGAGAGCGUGGGGAUCAAACAGGAUUAGAUACCCUGGUAGUCCACGCCGUAAACGAUGAGUGCUAAGUGUUAGGGGGUUUCCGCCCCUUAGUGCUGCAGCUAACGCAUUAAGCACUCCGCCUGGGGAGUACGACCGCAAGGUUGAAACUCAAAGGAAUUGACGGGGACCCGCACAAGCGGUGGAGCAUGUGGUUUAAUUCGAAGCAACGCGAAGAACCUUACCAAAUCUUGGCAUCCUUUGACAACUCUAGAGAUAGAGCUUUCCCCUUCGGGGGACAAAGUGACAGGUGGUGCAUGGUUGUCGUCAGCUCGUGUCGUGAGAUGUUGGGUUAAGUCCCGCAACGAGCGCAACCCUUAAGCUUAGUCGCCAUCAUUAAGUUGGGCACUCUAAGUUGACUGCCGGUGACAAACCGGAGGAAGGUGGGGAUGACGUCAAAUCAUCAUGCCCCUUAUGAUUUGGGCUACACACGUGCUACAAUGGACAAUACAAAGGGCAGCGAAACCGUGAGGUCAAGCAAAUCCCAUAAAGUUGUUCUCAGUUCGGAUUGUAGUCUGCAACUCGACUACAUGAAGCUGGAAUCGCUAGUAAUCGUAGAUCAGCAUGCUACGGUGAAUACGUUCCCGGGUCU